Micropterus dolomieu (smallmouth bass) is the source of this 318-nucleotide long non-coding RNA. RefSeq lists it as uncharacterized. NCBI's taxonomy places the organism in Eukaryota, Metazoa, Chordata, Actinopteri, Centrarchiformes, Centrarchidae. The record is from RefSeq and is a predicted model, not a curated record. The transcript has 2 exons.
CAACCAUGUAGCUUAAUGUACAAUGCGUCUACAACUGAUGACAGCUUAUAAACUCCUCCUCUCCAAGAAUUCGUGUUGGGUCGAGCACCUUUUAAUAUCAUCUUAAUCUGAAGUUUUUAAAUGUAGCUGUAAAAUUUUCUGUCCAUCAUUUUCUUGCUGUUUUUACCCUUAUGUGUUUUAUCUUGUGUCUUCUGUAUUUUAUCUUGUGUAUUAUGUUUUUACUCUUUUGUAUUUGAUCCUGUGUAUUUCUUGGAAAGUGUAUUGGGACCAUGCUGCAUGGAGAUUUUGCACUGUAAAUAAAAUAUGAUUUGAUUUUGA